CGCACAGCGGAGGACAUGUGGUUUAAUUCGAUGAUACGCGAGGAACCUUACCCGGGUUUGAACGCAUUUCGACCGCUCUGGAAACAGAGCCUCUAGCGAUAGCGAUUUGCGAGGUGCUGCAUGGUUGUCGUCAGCUCGUGCCGUGAGGUGUCGGCUUAAGUGCCAUAACGAGCGCAACCCUUGCCACUAGUUACUAACAGGUAAAGCUGAGGACUCUGGUGGGACUGCCAGCGUAAGCUGCGAGGAAGGCGGGGAUGACGUCAAAUCAGCACGGCCCUUACAUCCGGGGCGACACACGUGUUACAAUGGCGUGGACAAAGGGAGGCCACCUGGCGACAGGGAGCGAAUCCCCAAACCACGUCUCAGUUCGGAUCGGAGUCUGCAACCCGACUCCGUGAAGCUGGAUUCGCUAGUAAUCGCGCAUCAGCCAUGGCGCGGUGAAUACGUUCCCGGGCCUUGUUACACACCGCCCGU
Molecule: ribosomal RNA, 474 nt
Filed under: uncultured Bacteroidales bacterium
Lineage: Bacteria; Pseudomonadati; Bacteroidota; Bacteroidia; Bacteroidales
Description: bacterial SSU rRNA
Rfam family: Bacterial small subunit ribosomal RNA
Source: RNAcentral